Pelodiscus sinensis (Chinese soft-shelled turtle) is the source of this 2481-nucleotide non-coding RNA. The record is from RefSeq and is a predicted model, not a curated record. NCBI's taxonomy places the organism in Eukaryota, Metazoa, Chordata, Testudines, Trionychidae.
CACUGCAUGGUAACACUGUCCCCCUCAAAGUCCAGCUGAGCUGGCUGAUCUCCCAACUCUAUCUGCCAGGGAUAUCUAUUGAUUUCAUAUGGUCUUCUGAUCUCCAUUUGAGGAAGAGAAAAACACCCUAAUCUGGACAGUGCCAGCCAGAUUCUUACUGGCAUGUGAGGAUCAAAGGUUCAAGAAAAAGAUAAGGAACCUUCCCUGUAAGCAUUCCCCUUCAAUCUCCUCACUUAUAAACUAAUUAAUUUGAGCACUUGUGCUGAUCUCAACUGCUGUAUCAUACACUUGACCAUCUUGAGGCCAACUUCCUCAUUUGUGAAAACCAAACACUAAGAGCUGAAAUGUCUUCUGCACACUGCGCCUCUUGAGAUCCCGCCCUUGCUUCACCAAGAGGACAAGAAGCAAGGAGUACUUUUCCCCAAGCUUGAUGAAUCUGCUUCUUGGGAUAAACAACAGCCAUACUUCAAUCAUUGUAUUAUGGUUGAGAUUGAGUCCAGAUAUACAGUGUUGUUUUUGUGAUUACAAUAUUCUACUUGACCCACAAAGUAGCUCUUUUUCAGGUAAGAACAUUGGGUGAUUGGAGACAACUAUGUAUGAAAUGCGAAAUUUCACAACUUCCAUUUCUGGUGCCUUUGUAAAGGUUCAUAUUUGUCUCUUAUCAUUUAAAAUAAAGGGAAGCCUCUUAUCAUUUGUGUACUGAACAACAUCAAGACAUAGGCAUGUAGAAUAUAGAUAAUUUUUUAAAUUAAAUGUCUGAACUUCAAAACUACUUACAGGUCUUGGCACUUGCUUUUGGAAAUAUCUGCAGUACAAGAAUGCUACCAGUAGCAUUCCAAAACCAAACAUGAUUAUCCUUUAUCAAACUUCCUUUCAUCAAAUGUACCAGAUUCUCCAGGUCUACUUUAUGUGCUGCAAAAUAUGUGUGGCAAAACUCGUAUAUAGUUUGCAAAUUAGCUAGGAUCCAUUUGGGGUAAUGUAUUUGACACAAUGGAGGGAAGUACGACUAGAUGUGGAGAGACUUGGGAAAAAACAGAAUAAAAAAGGCAAGAUGGAUGUAGAUGAGGGACAGAAGAGAGUAGUGAAGGCUGUAUAAAAAGAUGGGGGAAAGGAGAGAGAGGUUGGUCAGAUGAUAAACUAGCUGAUUUCAGAAUAUGAGGCCAACCAAUCAGGAAAGGCCAGAAAAAACAGGAAAAUCUGACUGCUGUGAUAAGUAACAUAAUUCAUAUUUUCAGUCUUAAGGAGCAUUCCCUGGGAGAUUGAACCUAAUGUGUAUUGUCCAAUGGAAAAGUGGCCACCUUGACUAGAUGGAGUUGUCAAGACUGCAUCAUUUUGUACAAAUUGGAAUUCUGAUUCCAUAAAUUAUUCUAUUCAAGAGUUAGGAUUGCAGAAAGAUUUGAGUUCUGAUCUUUUCUAAUAAAACUGAAGUGAUUCACCAGCACUUUUAUCUAAUAGCACUAUUGCAGCUGUUACACUAGCACUGGACUGCACACUUAUUGGUAUAAAUGACAUGCUGUGUUCUUCAGAGCAAGUGCCACAGUGUGACUACUUGUGUAGCAUUGCAAACAAUUUUGCCUGUGGGUAGCUAGUGAAUUGCAGGCAUGCUAGGGAGUUACAAUCAUAUCUGCGGUGGCAAAAUACUCUAGGGUAGAUGAGUCCAGUGACUUCUCUAGAGUCACACAGGAAGUCUAUGGCAGAUUUGGGAACAGAAUCCCACUUUUCUGGUGACCACUUUUGUAGCUACAAAACCUUCCGCUACUAAUUACAUUGCUUUUUCCUCAGUACACAAUGUACAGUCAGCUUCUUGAAACUAUUUCUGGUCUCUCUCCUACUCACUAAAACAUUUGGGGAAUGGAUCAUGACUAUGUUUAGUGGACUGAUUGAAGCAGUUUGCAAAACAGAAAGUACAUCUUUUUCCAAUUAGAAAAAAUGAAGUUGUGAACAAACAACUGAACAUUUUGAACACAGCCAUUUUUAUAUUAAGGAACAUUGAGUAAAAUGAUGCCAUCACACCAUGUACAGCAUCUUUAAAAUGCUUGUAAAUAAAUACAUCUAUACCCAAAAUAGAUCCUUUAAGAUGCACCACUUCUGUGGUAGUACUUACUUACAGUAUAUUUUGGCAUGUAGGGAUAUUAACUUUACAAGUGAAAGAGCAAAUGUUUAAAAGCCAGCUACUUUUAAUAAAAGUCCAGUCAAAGAAGAAAUUGAAAUUAUAUGCCCACAUCAUCUCCUCCCUGUAAAUAUAUUCAAGAAACAAAGAAUCAAUUACCAUGUUAUGUUUUAGUAGUUGGGUGCUUUCAAUGUUUCUUUGUGUACAAAAUUCUUUUAGGCCCACACAUACCUAUUCAGAAAAUAUAUUGCUAGAAGUCAAUCUAGAAAUAAUUGCUGAAGAACAAAAAUAUUAUCUGUCCAUCAAUCUAUCAUACAUAAUCAUAUUGUUGUUUAAAACCUAUCUUUCCCCUCCCUGAGCUGUAUCCAAAA